AACGCGAAGAACCUUACCUGGAUUUGACAUGCAAGUGACGUAUACAGAGAUGUAUAUUUCCCGCAAGGGACGCUUGCACAGGUGCUGCAUGGCUGUCGUCAGCUCGUGCCGUGAGGUGUUGGGUUAAGUCCCGCAACGAGCGCAACCCUUGUCGUUAGUUGCCAGCAAGUAAAGUUGGGAACUCUAACGAGACUGCCUGGGUUAACCAGGAGGAAGGUGAGGAUGACGUCAAGUCCGCAUGGCCUUUAUGUCCAGGGCUACACACGUGCUACAAUGGUCGGUACAGAAGGUAGCGAAGCCGCAAGGUGGAGCAAAUCCCUGAAAGCCGGCCCCAGUUCGGAUUGUAGUCUGCAACUCGACUACAUGAAGAUGGAAUUGCUAGUAAUGGCGGGUCAGCAACACCGCCGUGAAUACGUUCCCGGGCCUUGUA
This 430-nucleotide ribosomal RNA is filed under the name uncultured Chlamydiae bacterium. RNAcentral's name for it is "bacterial SSU rRNA". It matches the Rfam family "Bacterial small subunit ribosomal RNA", at positions 958 to 1385 of the family's 1533-position model. Lineage: Bacteria; Pseudomonadati; Chlamydiota; Chlamydiia. The record is from RNAcentral.